Molecule: ribosomal RNA, 1434 nt
Filed under: uncultured organism
Description: SSU rRNA
Rfam family: Bacterial small subunit ribosomal RNA
Source: RNAcentral
CGCUAGCUACAGGCUUAACACAUGCAAGUCGAGGGGCAGCAUGGUCUUAGCUUGCUAAGGCCGAUGGCGACCGGCGCACGGGUGAGUAACACGUAUCCAACCUGCCGUCUACUCUUGGACAGCCUUCUGAAAGGAAGAUUAAUACAAGAUGGCAUCAUGAGUCCGCAUGUUCACAUGAUUAAAGGUAUUCCGGUAGACGAUGGGGAUGCGUUCCAUUAGAUAGUAGGCGGGGUAACGGCCCACCUAGUCUUCGAUGGAUAGGGGUUCUGAGAGGAAGGUCCCCCACAUUGGAACUGAGACACGGUCCAAACUCCUACAGGAGGCAGCAGUGAGGAAUAUUGGUCAAUGGGCGAGAGCCUGAACCAGCCAAGUAGCGUGAAGGAUGACUGCCCUAUGGGUUGUAAACUUCUUUUAUAAAGGAAUAAAGUCGGGUAUGGAUACCCGUUUGCAUGUACUUUAUGAAUAAGGAUCGGCUAACUCCGUGCCAGCAGCCGCGGUAAUACGGAGGAUCCGAGCGUUAUCCGGAUUUAUUGGGUUUAAAGGGAGCGUAGAUGGAUGUUUAAGUCAGUUGUGAAAGUUUGCGGCUCAACCGUAAAAUUGCAGUUGAUACUGGAUAUCUUGAGUGCAGUUGAGGCAGGCGGAAUUCGUGGUGUAGCGGUGAAAUGCUUAGAUAUCACGAAGAACUCCGAUUGCGAAGGCAGCCUGCUAAGCUGCAACUGACAUUGAGGCUCGAAAGUGUGGGUAUCAAACAGGAUUAGAUACCCUGGUAGUCCACACGGUAAACGAUGAAUACUCGCUGUUUGCGAUAUACAGCAAGCGGCCAAGCGAAAGCGUUAAGUAUUCCACCUGGGGAGUACGCCGGCAACGGUGAAACUCAAAGGAAUUGACGGGGGCCCGCACAAGCGGAGGAACAUGUGGUUUAAUUCGAUGAUACGCGAGGAACCUUACCCGGGCUUAAAUUGCAGAUGAAUUACGGUGAAAGCCGUAAGCCGCAAGGCAUCUGUGAAGGUGCUGCAUGGUUGUCGUCAGCUCGUGCCGUGAGGUGUCGGCUUAAGUGCCAUAACGAGCGCAACCCUUGUUGUCAGUUACUAACAGGUUCCGCUGAGGACUCUGACAAGACUGCCAUCGUAAGAUGUGAGGAAGGUGGGGAUGACGUCAAAUCAGCACGGCCCUUACGUCCGGGGCUACACACGUGUUACAAUGGGGGGUACAGAGGGCCGCUACCACGCGAGUGGAUGCCAAUCCCAAAAACCUCUCUCAGUUCGGACUGGAGUCUGCAACCCGACUCCACGAAGCUGGAUUCGCUAGUAAUCGCGCAUCAGCCACGGCGCGGUGAAUACGUUCCCGGGCCUUGUACACACCGCCCGUCAAGCCAUGGGAGCCGGGGGUACCUGAAGUGCGUAACCGCAAGGAGCGCCCUAGGGUAAAACUGGA